Molecule: non-coding RNA, 441 nt
Organism: Nyctereutes procyonoides (raccoon dog)
Lineage: Eukaryota; Metazoa; Chordata; Mammalia; Carnivora; Canidae
Source: the annotation of a RefSeq genome assembly
AUGGCCUGGAUGCCUCUCCUGCUCCCCAUCCUCACUCUCUGCACAGGCUCCGUGGCCUCCAGUGUGCUGACUCAGCCUCCCUCAGUGUCAGCGUCCCUGGGACAGACAGCGACCAUCACCUGCUCUGGAGAGAGUCUGAGCAGAUACUAUGCACAAUGGUAUCAGCAGAAGCCAGGCCAAGCCCCCAUGACAGUCAUAUAUGGGGUCAGAGAGCGACCUUCAGGGAUCCCUGACCGAUUCUCCGGCUCCAGUUCAGAGAACACACACACCUUGACAAUCAGUGGAGCCCAGGCCAAGGAUGAGGCUGAGUAUUACUGUGAGAUAUGGGACGCCAGUGCUGAUGAUCACAGUGACACAGGCAGACAGGGAAGUGAGACACAAACCCCUUCCCUGACUGUGUCACCUUCUUCUCUAGAACCAGGAGGACUGUGCACAGAAUAG